CUCAUGGUUUCACGGUAUUGCAAUGAGAACAAUUUAAAACCCUUAGCGAGAAUCAGGUGGAGGACAAGUCUGGUGCCAGCACCCGCGGUAAUUCCAGCUCCACUAGCGUAUAUUAAAGUUGUUGCAGUUAAAAAGCUCGUAGUUGAACCUCUGUCUGGGGCUAGUUUUGGCUUUGGUCAGGCUAGUUCUAGGCAUCCGCCUACAAGACUUAGAGGGCAUUCAGUUGUUCACUAGGAGGAGUAGGCAUUUUACUUUGAAAAAAUUAGAGUGUUUAAGGCAGGCAAUCGCCCGCAUAUAUUAGCAUGGAAUAAUAGAAUAGGACACUUUUCCAUUUCGUUGGUUAUUGGAAUCGUGUAAUGAUUAAUAGGGACAGUUGUGGGCAUUUGUAUUUAAUUGUCAGAGGUGAAAUUCUUGGAUUUAUUAAGACAAACUAACGCGAAAGCAUUUGCCAAGGAUGUUUUCAUUAAUCAAGAACGAAAGUUAGGGGAUCAAAGACGAUCAGACACCGUCCUAGUCUUAACUAUAAACUAUUCCGACUCAAUGUUUGACUGGCUUAUAUAACCAGUUGAGCGUUGUAUGAGAAAUCAAAGUCUUUAGGUUCUGGGGGGAGUAUGGUUGCAAAGCUGAAACUUAAAGGAAUUGACGGAAGAGCACAACCAGGAGUGGAUUCUGCGGCUUAAUUUGACUCAACACGGGGAAACUUACCAGGUUAAAACAAUAGUGGGAUUGACAGUUUGAGAGCGCUUUCUUGAUUGGUUGGGUGGUGGUGCAUGGCCGUUCUUAGUUGGUGGAGUGAUUUGUCUGCUUAAUUGCGUUAACGAACGAGACCUUAACCUGCUUACUAGACUGGCGAUCAUCAAUCGUUAGCUCUUCUUAGAGGGACUUUGGUUGUUUUAACUCCAAGGAAGUUUGAGGCAAUAACAGGUCUGUGAUGCCCUUAGAUAUCCUGGGCCGCACGCGUCAUACAAUGACUAGUUCAGAAAGUUUUCUCCUGACCCGAAAGGGGAUGGGUAAUCUUGAUAGUACUAGUCGUGUUAGGGAUCGAUCUUUGCAAUUAUAGAUCUUGAACGAGGAAUUCCUAGUAAGUGCGGUUCAUCAGACCGUACUGAUUACGUCCCUGCUCUUUGUACACACCGCCCGUCGCUUCUACCGAGUGGGUGGUCCGGUGAGAUAAUUGAACUUCGCAGGUAACUGAGAGGAAAGAUUAUCAAACCUAUCCACCU
This 1223-nucleotide ribosomal RNA is filed under the name metagenome. RNAcentral describes it as "SSU rRNA". It matches the Rfam family "Eukaryotic small subunit ribosomal RNA", at positions 493 to 1774 of the family's 1831-position model. The record is from RNAcentral.